GAUGAACGCUGGCGGCGUGCCUAAUACAUGCAAGUCGAGCGAACGGACGAGAAGCUUGCUUCUCUGAUGUUAGCGGCGGACGGGUGAGUAACACGUGGAUAACCUACCUAUAAGACUGGGAUAACUUCGGGAAACCGGAUCUAAUACCGGAUAAUAUUUUGAACCGCAUUGUUCAAAAGUGAAAGACGGUCUUGCUUUCACUUAUAGAUGGAUCCGCGCUGCAUUAGCUAGUUGGUAAGGUAACGGCUUACCAAGGCAACGAUGCAUAGCCGACCUGAGAGGGUGAUCGGCCACCCUGGAACUGAGACACGGUCCAGACUACUACGGGAGGCAGCAGUAGGGAAUCUUCCGCAAUGGGCGAAAGCAUGACGGAGCAACGCCGAGUGAGUGAUGAAGGUCUUCGGAUCGUAAAACUCUGUUAUUAGGGAAGAACAUAUGUGUAAGUAACUGUGCACAUCUUGACGGUACCUAAUCAGAAAGCCACGGCUAACUACGUG
RNAcentral lists this ribosomal RNA (497 nucleotides) under uncultured bacterium. RNAcentral's name for it is "partial 16S ribosomal RNA". It matches the Rfam family "Bacterial small subunit ribosomal RNA", at positions 28 to 507 of the family's 1533-position model. The record is from RNAcentral.